Molecule: long non-coding RNA, 401 nt
Filed under: Astyanax mexicanus (Mexican tetra)
Lineage: Eukaryota; Metazoa; Chordata; Actinopteri; Characiformes; Acestrorhamphidae
Description: lncRNA (ENSAMXG00005003056.1)
Source: RNAcentral
CUCACUGUGGACUGUCUGUUUCAUGAGGAUAGAGGAUUACUGCAGUGCUACAGGAACCAGGAAGCUCUGGAGAAAGUUACACACUGGAUCAAACCGCUGCAGAAGAAAGGAACUUCUGGAACAAGAGAAGUAAAAGCAGCUACAACAGGAAAUGCAGAGUUAAUCAACAAACUUCAGAGAAAUUAUAAACUCCUCAAGCAGCUGCAGAAAAUACCAUCAAUCAAGAAAACAAUUCCAGCACAACUACUUAGUGAACUAGAAAAAGAACUGAAAGAUCAUCCUUUAUUGCUGGUUCAGAGUAUGGAUGACCAGAAGAUGUGUGUAUGCUCCUGAAAUAAUUAACUGUAUUUCCCACAAGGGCUGGGUAAAUAAAAAAAAUCUGAUCUUAUUACUGUUUUUCA